GCAAGUCGAGGGGUAACAGGUAGAGCUUGCUUUCCGCUGACGACCGGCGCACGGGUGCGUAACGCGUAUACAAUCUACCUAUUACAGGGGGAUAGCCCAGAGAAAUUUGGAUUAAUACCCCAUAGUAUUAUUUAGUGGCAUCAUUAGAUAAUUAAAGCUUCGGCGGUAAUAGAUGAGUAUGCGUCCUAUUAGUUAGUUGGGAAGGGAAUUGCUUACAAAGACAUCGAUAGGUAGGGGUCCUGAGAGGGAGAGC
Molecule: ribosomal RNA, 253 nt
Filed under: uncultured bacterium
Lineage: Bacteria
Description: partial 16S ribosomal RNA
Rfam family: Bacterial small subunit ribosomal RNA
Source: RNAcentral